Molecule: ribosomal RNA, 445 nt
Filed under: uncultured bacterium
Lineage: Bacteria
Description: bacterial SSU rRNA
Rfam family: Bacterial small subunit ribosomal RNA
Source: RNAcentral
UAGCAAUAUCUGGCGGCGACCGGCGGAAGGGUGCGUAACGCGUGAGCAACUUGCCGUAUCUGGGGGAUAGUCAUUGGAAACGAUGCGUAAUACCCCAUAACAACAGAGGCUGCAUGACCUUUGUUUGAAAGCUUCGGUGGAUACGGAUAGGCUCGCGAGACAUUAGCUAGUUGGAGUGGUAACGGCACACCAAGGCGACGAUGUCUAGGGGUUCUGAGAGGAAGGUCCCCCCACAUUGGAACUGAGACACGGUCCAAACUCCUACGGGAGGCAGCAGUGAGGAAUAUUGGUCAAUGGCCGGAAGGCUGAACCAGCCAUGCCGCGUGCAGGAAUAAGGCCCCCUAUGGGUCGUAAACUGCUUUUGUGGUGGAGCAAUAAGACGUACGUGUACGUCGAUGAGAGUACAUCACGAAUAAGCAUCGGCUAACUCCGUGCCAGCAGCCGC